This 279-nucleotide ribosomal RNA is filed under the name Triticum aestivum (bread wheat). Its description in RNAcentral is "partial small subunit ribosomal RNA". Lineage: Eukaryota; Viridiplantae; Streptophyta; Magnoliopsida; Poales; Poaceae. The record is from RNAcentral.
AUGGCGAGGUCUGGUGGCCGGUGGGUCUGGGUCGUUGCGGCGGCGAUAGUGGUGCUGCUGCUGACCACGGUGUCAUCAGCAUCAGCAGCAGCAGGUGUCGAUUCAGCAACGACGGCACCGGCCAAGGUGUGGCGGCUCCCUCCAAGAUUCCCUACAGAGCCCUUCCCGGUGCCAAAGCCCCCUUCUUCGUCGUCGUGGAAGGCGGUGAAAUCAUCUCUUCCUCCUCGCCACCGCCUCCCCACGGAGCCGCCGUCGGGAAAGCGUACAAAACACAUGUAA